CGAACGGGUGAGUAAUGCGUGACCAACCUGCCCCAUGCUCCAGAAUAGCUCUUGGAAACGGGUGGUAAUGCUGGGUGCUCCAACUUGACGCAUGUCUUGUUGGGAAAGUGUUUAGUGGCAUGGGAUGGGGUCGCGUCUUAUCAGCUUGUAGGCGGGGUAAUGGCCCACCUAGGCUUCGACGGGUAGCCGGCCUGAGAGGGCGGACGGCCACAUUGGGACUGAGAUACGGCCCAGACUCCUACGGGAGGCAGCAGUC
This 256-nucleotide ribosomal RNA is filed under the name uncultured Gardnerella sp. Its description in RNAcentral is "partial 16S ribosomal RNA". It matches the Rfam family "Bacterial small subunit ribosomal RNA", at positions 99 to 355 of the family's 1533-position model. Lineage: Bacteria; Bacillati; Actinomycetota; Actinomycetes; Bifidobacteriales; Bifidobacteriaceae. The record is from RNAcentral.